UACUUAGACAUGAAGAAAUACUAAAAACUCCUUGGAUACUGAUUACUGACAAGUAGAACCCUAACCUUGUCUAUAGCUACAAACCAAUUUCAAACAUAAAAGUAACAACUGUUAAGCAUGUUGUGAUUGAUCCAAAAGUAGAGGUGGCAAAGAUCUUUGAUUGGAAAAGAUAACUGAAGCAUGCGAAGAGGAUCUUGGAAAGCUCAAGAGCUCCUGUUCAAUUCUAAUCUGAUCGAGACGCACAUCAAUCUCUUUGCAUCUGGCAGCUAUGUCGAACUUUUCUAGCAUGAUUGCAUUCUCAAGCAAAUAUUUAACCAAUGGAAGAACAAACUUAUUUACACUUAAUGGUCCAACCAAGUUAAUGAACUUGAUAGUCUUCAGAUGUAGCAAUGGGCAGUUAAAUUUAUGUGUCUCAAACGUCCUGAUUUGCCUUUCCUUAUCCUUAAAAGAAUACGCAUAUAAAUACUGCACGAAAGAAUUCGCAAACAUUAACCAGUUAUUCUCCUCAGAUGGACGUAAAAGCCAAUGAAUUGAUAGUUAGAUAAAAUAAAAAGGUGAUGAAUUAUUUUUCAGAUUCAAGAAACAAGUCAAGUGCUUAGCAAAAGUUACAAAGUGGUAUAAGCAAACAAAAAAAGAAAAAUGUUUCAACGCUUUAUUGAAGCUGGUCCUUUAUCUCUUUGCGUGAAGGUGAGUACUAUUCCUUGUGAAACUUCUUUUUCUCAAAAAAAAGGUCAUUAUAGAAGUGGAUUACUCAUAGAAUCAACUUUGACAGUGACAAAUCUCUGAUAAAGAGCUGGCAGUUGCAGACUAGGACAAAAGAGACCAGUAAGGAACAAAUAAUAUCGUAUUGAUGAAAGCCUCAAUGCUCGCGUACUAAGAAGAACUUUUUUGACUACUUUCCUUCAUCAAAGCCAGAAGCAAAGGGCAAAAACUCCACAACUAGUAACUAAGGGGUUGAAGGGAAUACCUAAAGAUCCAACAAACAAAGAAAAAAUCUUUAUACAAAUACGAGUGAUAGCAUAGUAUAGUUCGAUACACAAGGACAGUUGUAUGUGGCUGGUCAUUAGAUGUCACCGCUUCAAACAGAUGUACAAUAUGUGAGAUAGAAUGUCAGCCUUUGUAAGAAACAAAAUGCGGGUGGAACCCGACUCUUUAUUUAAUGUGGAUGUUGUGAAGCAGUCGCAAAACAUUCUUGGCCCUAUGAACCUAUUAUUGAAGAAAUUAAAGAGUUGAUUCAUAACUCUAUUCUUAGGGCAUUGGAACAGUAAGAGGUAAUGCAAUCAAAUCCCCUCUUUGUAACCUUUUAGCAUUAUCUGUGAAAUAUGCCACUAAGGUGAUGAUUAAUUGAGUUUUAUGAUUUCUUUCCUAGUGUACUUGAGAUCAGAAAUAUGCUGAUAUAUCCUCUUCUUCUUCAACUAAUAGUAGUUUGACAUUGAUAACAUAAAGUAACAAAAAUAAAGGUACAAAAGAAACUUACUAUUGGUCUGUGAUAGCACUGGUCAACCACCAAUGUCUCGAGAUCCGGUGAAUUUGGGAAAAUCACUUAUUUAGUCUUCCGGUGUCGUGAUUUUUUUUUGCAUUUUCACUUUUGAUAAAGCUGAGCUCUGUUGUUUAUAAAAUGAAUUAAUUUUAAUCUUAUGGUUAAUUAUAAAUCUAUAACCAAGAAUAAUGAAAAUCGAUGCAUCAACAGACAAACCAACUUUUGCUAUAGUUUUCUACUUGGUCUUUCUCAAAAAAAAAUUGAUGCAAGGGAAACCCGCAGCCGCUACCCUUUGGGUGCGCACAAGGUAGAACCCCGCUCCUACUCAAUAGCUAGCAAAUCACAUAGGAGAGGUAACCCGCACUAGGCAAUCCCGGUGCGACGAGCUCGACCCAGAAGGCAAACCCCCUUGCUUUCGAAAGCAAGGGGAUUCGAACUUGAGACCUUCAACAUGGAAGUCCCAAGCCCAAACCACUGGGUCACCCCGAAGGGUCUGGUCUUUCUCAAUUUUUAUUUUUUAUAUCAAGAAUAUUAAAUUGUAUAGAAUUAAUUGGUUAUAAUUCACAAAGAACAUUCCAAAUCUACAACCUGGAAUAGCCUAAGUUGCUAGGACUCGGGUGCUGGAUACGGCUGCGGAUCUAAAGGUAGGAUCCUUCAUGAUCUAAUUUUUAAGAUUCGGAGAUAUGGAUCCAUGUAUGGAUACGGGUGUCGGGGUUCACCUAAAAAUAGAGUUAUAAAGCCUAAAUUAUGAGAUAUUAUUUUGGAGAAUUUGAGGAGAAUCUUGGAAGGAGAAUAAAUGAAAGGGAGUGACAUAGAAAUUUCUAUAUAAAAGGUAUUCCAUAUGCUUCAAUCUUACCUUAGCUUUAGUAUUGAUUACAGAAAUCAUUAAAACUGUCCAAACUUUCCCCAUUGAUUUUGGUCAAAGUACCCAAAAUUGGUUGACUGAAUCAGACAUGAUCCCACACCCACACACAUUUCGUGUCGACACGGGUGCGACACCAAAAGUGAAGAGUCCAAGCAACUAACGGAAUAGCUAUGCUUUCACUUGUCUUUCACAAAAUCGUUAUCUUGUAAUAGAAUUCAAAUAAGGAAAGGAUCUAUACAAGGAUCUAUACAAGAUGAUUCAUAAUAGGACUUUCUGAUAGUUCAGAUAAAGCAAUGAUUUGAUGCAAAAAAUGUACAUAUCUGAAACAGAUAAUGUUUGUCCUAUUUAGCUAGCUUAAUAAAUGAAGAAACCCUAAAGGUCAUGUGUGGAAUAGAAUGAAAUAAAUAAGUUUUAUAAUUAAUUGUAAUUACAAUUUUCUCUAACAUUCUUUUUGAGCGGAAUUCUCUAAUAUUGAAUGCACGUACAAAGAAAGGUAAAAGAAAAUGGAUAAAAUAUUAUGUGUUGAAGUUUCGUGCCUUUAUAUAGUUUAGAUAGAUAGAUUGUGCAUUUAGAAAUUGGAGUUCAUUUUCUUCCAUUUUACAGUAAUUUGGUUUUACUUGCCGUAUUUCUCAUUUCACUUUCAUUCAGCAUGAUUUCUAUUAUAACGCACCAAAGGGUGUGGCCUACUGGUCAAGGAAAUGGUUGAAAACCUGAGGUCUCAGGUUCAAAACUCAGUGGAGACAAAAAACACUAGAUGAUUCUUCCAAUUGUCCUAGGCUCCUAGCGUGGGUGGACAGAGUUACCUGGUUACCUGUUGUUGGUGCAAGGUGGGAGGUGGUAGGUAUUCCGUGGAAUUAGUCGAGGUGCGCGAAAGCUGACCUGGACACCACGAUCAUCAAAAAAUAUGAUUUGUAUUAUGGUAAAAGCUAUAAAUUAAAUCAAUUUUGAGUGCACAAAGAACAACCUGCAGCUUGUGGAUUUAGCUCUCAGUGAGAAACUUGCAAUUAAAUAGGCUGGAGAAAACUCAUAAAGAAGAAGGUAUUUCUAAGCUACUUCAAACAAUGAGGGAUAGUUAGUACUAGAAAUUCAGAGAGAAGGAUAGACAGGAAGACUCUUUCAUACCGUCCUUGUUAUGUGACGAGGAUGAGGUACAAAGUAAUAUAAGAGUAGUUCGGUCAUCGAUAUCAAUACAUAUCUAUUUGAAUAGAUUUACUUACAAUGCAUAUUUACAAUCUCAUAAAAGGUAUUGUUCACAUACACCGAGAGAAAAAUAUUAUGAUCACAAACCCCUCCAUGCAGUGGAGGAACUAGGUGAAGGGAAGGUGAAAAACUAUACUCAUAAGUAGGAUAAAGUUGAACAUAUUUGGUUACAUAUAAGUUGUUGAAUCCCUUUGACAUAAGGAAAAUUUCUAGUGUAGUGGUAAAGGGGGUUCGAAAAUCACUUCAAGUCACUGGUUCAAAUCCAAACUAUCAAAUUCUGGUAUUUGUUCCGUAUAUAAGUUUCUAGUGAAAGGCUUUUAAUGCAAACUAAAUCGAAAGCUAAUGAAAGACCAGAGAACUUGGUCCUCUAAGCCCUCAAUUCAUUUUGAAAUCACUUCACUCCGGGUUACCGCACAAUCCAUUUCAAGCAUCAUAAUGGUAACACUAUUAAAUAAUCCAGACGAAGCGGAGCAACCACUCCGAGUCUGUUUUCUCCAUUUAAUUACUUUAUCCCCUUUAUCAAAAUGGUAAAAAACUAUUACUUAUUAUAGCACUGAUUUAGUGCAAUAUAUGAGAAGCACAUAAUGUAGGUAUGUUUUUUUAUCAAAAGUGUAUUUUCAAAGUUCAUAUAAGCUUGUAAAAUACUGGUCAGUAACAAAUUGGGGAGGAACAUCAGAAUUAGAAAUUGAUAGAAAAGCAAGGAUAUGGGCUCAUGUAAGUAGGAAACAAAAAAUAUCUAUUCUAGUUCUAUUUGACAAUAGCAAAGAGAAGGAAAGGAGUUGAAAGUCAGUUGACUGUAAGAAGAGAGCAUAGUUUGUAUUCUCAAAUGAUAUCAGAGGGAUUUGCACACAAUCCUAUGAAUUUACUCUUUCUUACUAAUUGCAGUGCAGGAUCUCAUAUGUUUGUGUUAAUAACAUAAGCUAACAGAAACAAAACAUUGGACACAUAAUGAAUCUAGAAAUACAAUUUUUUUUGCAAAAUGACCAGGAUUCAGCAAUAUGAAUAUAUAUCACAAAGCAUUUGGAACAAGAGAUCACACAUGAACAUGAUGAUUGGAUAAUAAACACAUUGUUAAGUACUUAGACAUGAAGAAAUACUAAAAACUCCUUGGAUACUGAUUACUGACAAGUAGAACCCUAACCUUGUCUAUAGCUACAAACCAAUUUCAAACAUAAAAGUAACAACUGUUAAGCAUGUUGUGAUUGAUCCAAAAGUAGAGGUGGCAAAGAUCUUUGAUUGGAAAAGAUAACUGAAGCAUGCGAAGAGGAUCUUGGAAAGCUCAAGAGCUCCUGUUCAAUUCUAAUCUGAUCGAGACGCACAUCAAUCUCUUUGCAUCUGGCAGCUAUGUCGAACUUUUCUAGCAUGAUUG
This 4914-nucleotide long non-coding RNA is filed under the name Solanum tuberosum (potato). RNAcentral's name for it is "long non-coding RNA (STUB_LNC007855)". Lineage: Eukaryota; Viridiplantae; Streptophyta; Magnoliopsida; Solanales; Solanaceae. The record is from RNAcentral.